Triticum dicoccoides is the source of this 497-nucleotide long non-coding RNA. RefSeq lists it as uncharacterized. The record is from RefSeq and is a predicted model, not a curated record. The transcript has 2 exons. Lineage: Eukaryota; Viridiplantae; Streptophyta; Magnoliopsida; Poales; Poaceae.
UUUUCAAACUGCAUUAGAAGAGGAUGGACAGGUACACGGUUCGCAUCUACGGUCUAGCCUUGCUACUGUCUCUCCAUCUCCUAUGCUCCGCACCUACUGCUCAAUGUCGGAUCAUCGAAGAAGACGUGGAUGAUGAGAAGAUCAAUUUUCCGCAUGGGCUUUGUGUCAAUGGUAAACCGUGCAAAGAUGGAUGGCUUUGCUUGUGUUGCCUUGCGAAUCUAGAGUGCUACCCGUCCAUGGAUGCGUGCAAGAAAAACUGUUUGAAACCCUCUCCUGCUGAGAUGGUGUCGAUGACAAUGACCCGUUCUCCUUUACCUGUCCCCUCUCCCGCCUCUUCAUUAGGUUUAAUUUGAAUUACCUAUAUUUUGCCCGGGACCUAAUGGAUAUUGUGUGAAAAAAUAAUUUGGAAUAGAAGUAUCUCAUACAUUAGUCGUGGCAGUUUGAUUUGACAUGUUGCAUCAAUCGUCAUUUUUUUACUAAUUAUUGCCGGUAACUCA